GAUUAGAUAUCCCCUGACGUCAAGUCAGCUAAAGACCCCUUGGAGACUACAAGGUUGAUAGGCCGGGUGUGUAAGUGCAGUAAUGCAUGGAGCUUACCGGUACUAAUCGGUCGUGAGGCUUAGCCACAA
RNAcentral lists this ribosomal RNA (129 nucleotides) under Desulfobotulus mexicanus. Its description in RNAcentral is "Desulfobotulus sp. PAR22N partial 23S ribosomal RNA". It matches the Rfam family "Bacterial large subunit ribosomal RNA", at positions 2803 to 2925 of the family's 2925-position model. Lineage: Bacteria; Pseudomonadati; Thermodesulfobacteriota; Desulfobacteria; Desulfobacterales; Desulfobacteraceae. The record is from RNAcentral.